Molecule: transfer RNA, 72 nt
Filed under: Perkinsus olseni
Lineage: Eukaryota; Perkinsozoa; Perkinsida; Perkinsidae
Description: tRNA-Gln
Rfam family: tRNA
About the family: Transfer RNA (tRNA) molecules are approximately 80 nucleotides in length. Their secondary structure includes four short double-helical elements and three loops (D, anti-codon, and T loops). Further hydrogen bonds mediate the characteristic L-shaped molecular structure. tRNAs have two regions of fundamental functional importance: the anti-codon, which is responsible for specific mRNA codon recognition, and the 3' end, to which the tRNAs corresponding amino acid is attached (by aminoacyl-tRNA synthetases). tRNAs cope with the degeneracy of the genetic code in two manners: having more than one tRNA (with a specific anti-codon) for a particular amino acid; and 'wobble' base-pairing, i.e. permitting non-standard base-pairing at the 3rd anti-codon position.
Source: RNAcentral
GGUUCUAUAGUGUAGUGGUUAGCACUCUGGACUUUGAAUCCAGUGACUCGGGUUCGAAUCCCGAUAGAACCU